GGAUUGAGAACAACGUACAACUCUUAUCGAUAAGCCAUUGGAGGGCAAGUCUGGUGCCAGCAGCCGCGGUAAUUCCAGCUCCAAUAGCGUAUAUUAACGUUGUUGCAGUUAAAAAGCUCGUAGUUGAAGUGAGGGAGUGUGUGUUCAUGAGAGCUAGUCUCGAGUGUUCACAACCUCCCCCCUCCAAUCGGUGUAGUGGGGUAUUCAGUUAUUCCACUACUCCUUUGGUCGUUUACUGUGAGAAAAUUAGAGUGUUCAAAGCGGGCGUUUGUUUGAAUAGAUUAGCAUGGAAUAAUGAUUGAAGGCUUUCGUGUUCGAUUUGAUUGGUUUGUUCAUGGAAGCAAGGUUAAAAGGAACAGUUGGGGGUAUUCAUAUUCACUAGUUAGAGGUGAAAUUCUCGGAUUUAUGGAAGAUGAACAAGUGCGAAAGCA
RNAcentral lists this ribosomal RNA (431 nucleotides) under Blastocystis sp. RNAcentral's name for it is "SSU rRNA". It matches the Rfam family "Eukaryotic small subunit ribosomal RNA", at positions 511 to 953 of the family's 1831-position model. The record is from RNAcentral. Lineage: Eukaryota; Bigyra; Opalinata; Blastocystidae.